GGCGCUACAAGUAGGGAGCUUUCCUCGGUUUCUGUGUCGUAGCUAACGCAUUAAGCGCCCCGCCUGGGGAGUACGGCCGCAAGGCUAAAACUCAAAGGAAUUGACGGGGGCCCGCACAAGCGGCGGAGCAUGCGGAUUAAUUCGAUGCAACGCGAAGAACCUUACCAAGGCUUGACAUACACCGGAAACGGCCAGAGAUGGUCGCCCCCUUGUGGUCGGUGUACAGGUGGUGCAUGGUUGUCGUCAGCUCGUGUCGUGAGAUGUUGGGUUAAGUCCCGCAACGAGCGCAACCCUCGUUCUAUGUUGCCAGCGGGUUAUGCCGGGGACUCAUAGGAGACUGCCGGGGUCAACUCGGAGGAAGGUGGGGAUGACGUCAAAUCAUCAUGCCCCUUAUGUCUUGGGCUUCACGCAUGCUACAAUGGCCGGUACAAAGGGCUGCGAUACCGUAAGGUGGAGCGAAUCCCAAAAAGCCGGUCUCAGUUCGGAUUGAGGUCUGCAACUCGACCUCAUGAAGUCGGAGUCGCUAGUAAUCGCAGAUCAGCAACGCUGCGGUGAAUACGUUCCCGGGCCUUGUACACACCGCCCGUCAAGUCAUGAAAGUCGGUAACACCCGAAGCCGGUGGCCUAACCCUUGUGGAAGGAGCCGUCCAACCAGGGAACGGUGAUUUCCANUAACUCGU
This 680-nucleotide ribosomal RNA is filed under the name uncultured Curtobacterium sp. Its description in RNAcentral is "bacterial SSU rRNA". It matches the Rfam family "Bacterial small subunit ribosomal RNA", at positions 812 to 1489 of the family's 1533-position model. Lineage: Bacteria; Bacillati; Actinomycetota; Actinomycetes; Micrococcales; Microbacteriaceae. The record is from RNAcentral.